CACAUGCAGUCGAGCGGUAGAGAGAAGCUUGCUUCUCUUGAGAGCGGCGGACGGGUGAGUAAUGCCUAGGAAUCUGCCUGGUAGUGGGGGAUAACGUUCGGAAACGGACGCUAAUACCGCAUACGUCCUACGGGAGAAAGCAGGGGACCUUCGGGCCUUGCGCUAUCAGAUGAGCCUAGGUCGGAUUAGCUAGUUGGUGAGGUAAUGGCUCACCAAGGCGACGAUCCGUAACUGGUCUGAGAGGAUGAUCAGUCACACUGGAACUGAGACACGGUCCAGACUCCUACGGGAGGCAGCAGUGGGGAAUAUUGGACAAUGGGCGAAAGCCUGAUCCAGCCAUGCCGCGUGUGUGAAGAAGGUCUUCGGAUUGUAAAGCACUUUAAGUUGGGAGGAAGGGCAGUUACCUAAUACGUGAUUGUUUUGACGUUACCGACAGAAUAAGCACCGGCUAACUCUGUGCCAGCAGCCGCGGUAAUACAGAGGGUGCAAGCGUUAAUCGGAAUUACUGGGCGUAAAGCGCGCGUAGGUGGUUAGUUAAGUUGGAUGUGAAAUCCCCGGGCUCAACCUGGG
Molecule: ribosomal RNA, 570 nt
Filed under: bacterium amp-d-38
Lineage: Bacteria
Description: bacterial SSU rRNA
Rfam family: Bacterial small subunit ribosomal RNA
Source: RNAcentral